AAGAUAGCAUCACAUAAGUGAGUUAUACUUUAAAAAAGAUAUGCUAUGAUACGGCAAUGAAUUUUAUAUAGAUAUGUUUUACUGCUUGGAUCAUAAGGACUGAGACAGGAAG
Megasphaera sp. is the source of this 112-nucleotide non-coding RNA. The record is from Rfam. Lineage: Bacteria; Bacillati; Bacillota; Negativicutes; Veillonellales; Veillonellaceae.